GAUGAACGCUGGCGGCGUGCCUAAUACAUGCAAGUCGAGCGAACAGACGAGGAGCUUGCUCCUCUGACGUUAGCGGCGGACGGGUGAGUAACACGUGGAUAACCUACCUAUAAGACUGGGAUAACUUCGGGAAACCGGAGCUAAUACCGGAUAAUAUAUUGAACCGCAUGGUUCAAUAGUGAAAGACGGUUUUGCUGUCACUUAUAGAUGGAUCCGCGCCGCAUUAGCUAGUUGGUAAGGUAACGGCUUACCAAGGCAACGAUGCGUAGCCGACCUGAGAGGGUGAUCGGCGACACUGGAACUGAGACACGGUCCAGACUCCUACGGGAGGCAGCAGUAGGGAACCUUCCGCAAUGGGCGAAAGCUUGACGGAGCAACGCCGCGUGAGUGAUGAAGAUCUUCGGAUCGUAAAACUCUGUUAUUAGGGAAGAACAAAUGUGUAAGUAACUAUGCACGUCUUGACGGUACCUAAUCAGAAAGCCACGGCUAACUACGUG
Molecule: ribosomal RNA, 497 nt
Filed under: uncultured bacterium
Lineage: Bacteria
Description: partial 16S ribosomal RNA
Rfam family: Bacterial small subunit ribosomal RNA
Source: RNAcentral